Molecule: ribosomal RNA, 527 nt
Filed under: Brettanomyces bruxellensis
Lineage: Eukaryota; Fungi; Ascomycota; Pichiomycetes; Pichiales; Pichiaceae
Description: eukaryotic LSU rRNA
Rfam family: Eukaryotic large subunit ribosomal RNA
Source: RNAcentral
CAACAGGGAUUGCCCCAGUAAUGGCGAAUGAAGCGGCAAGAGCCCAAAUUUGAAAUCGGGCAACCGAGUUGUAAUUUGGAGACGGGACACUAGAGAGGAGGAAGGCGAUUAAGUGCCUUGGAACAGGCUGCCGUAGAGGGUGAGAGCCCCGUGAAUCGCUGGAGACCGAUCAAUUAGUGCCCGCCGAAGAGUCGAGUUGUUUGGGAAUGCAGCUCUAAGUGGGUGGUAUAUUCCAUCUAAGGCUAAAUAUUAGCGAGAGACCGAUAGCAAACAAGUACAGUGAUGGAAAGAUGAAAAGAACUUUGGAAAGAGAGUGAAAUAGUACGCGAAAUUGUUGAAAGGGAAGGGUAUUUGAUCCGACAUGGUGUUUAGCAGCGGCCCGUUCCUCGUGGAUGGGUGCACCUGGUUUACACUGGGCCAGCAUCGGUUCUGGGAGCCAUAUACGGGGUUCGUGAAUGUGGCCCUUCGAUUCUGUCGGAGGGUGUUAUAGCGCGGACAUCUUGUGGCUAGCCGGGACCGGGGACUGC